Molecule: ribosomal RNA, 240 nt
Filed under: Triticum aestivum (bread wheat)
Lineage: Eukaryota; Viridiplantae; Streptophyta; Magnoliopsida; Poales; Poaceae
Description: partial small subunit ribosomal RNA
Source: RNAcentral
AUGGAGGUGGACUGCUUGGAGGUAGCGAACCUCUGGAACUCGCAUCACAGUCCUAGAUCGAUUGUGAAGCCUAUCUUCGAUGAAAUCAAGGAAAGAGCUGCAAACUUUGUUUCCUUUUCGAUCCAGCAUGUCGUAAAAGAAGCCAACAGUGUGGCUGACCUAUGCGCAAAACAUGCAACCACCCUCUCAAUAUCAGAUGUUUGGCUGGACUCUUGUCCAUCCUUCCAGCUAGGAAGCUGA